This 357-nucleotide ribosomal RNA is filed under the name Platyzosteria melanaria. RNAcentral describes it as "partial small subunit ribosomal RNA". Lineage: Eukaryota; Metazoa; Arthropoda; Insecta; Blattodea; Blattidae. The record is from RNAcentral.
UUUGGAUGUAAAAUAUAUUUAACCUAAGUAGUACUAGUUAAGGUCUUGAAACUUAAAGAAUUUGGCGGUAUUUUAGUCUAUUUAGAGGAAUCUGUCCCUUAAUCGAUAGUCCACGUUGUACCUUACCAAAAUUUAUGUAUGUAUACCGCCGUUAUCAAUGAGAAUCUUUAUAGAGUUUAAUAAUUUUCUGGGUUUAUUUUUAAAAAUUAUUUCAGGUCAAGGUGCAGUUUAUGUUUUGGUGGAGAUGGAUUACAUUUAAAUUAAUUAUUGGAUUAUUUUUUGCAAAUUGGAAUAUGAAACUGGAUUUAAUUGUAAUUUUUUGUAGAUUAUAAUUUUGAUUUUAGCUCUAUAAUAUGU